Molecule: long non-coding RNA, 1212 nt
Organism: Mauremys reevesii (Reeves's turtle)
Lineage: Eukaryota; Metazoa; Chordata; Testudines; Geoemydidae
Exons: 4
Source: RefSeq, a predicted model, not a curated record
AAGCCUGGGACCGGUCCUGUGUGCUUUGCAAGUCAGAACUGGAAGAGACUUUCCCUCUCAGAGCCUCACUACAUUCUUCUGAGCUAACAAUGCAACUUUGCUUGACUGCCAACUCUAACUAGUAUUGGAGCCAUUCUGUGUGAAGUCUGCCAGGUUCAGGCAGGCGUGUGCAAUCUCUUGGAAACCUGCAUUUAAAACAGGACUCUUUUGCGCUAGUGCUUUUGUUCUUUCCCAGUGAAAACAAUCCACACCCCAGGAGUCAUCAUCUGUGCUGAUUUGUUUACCCCUCCCAGAUACUGCUUCAAAACAACAAGUUCCUUAUGAGUUGUUAAUCUAAAACAAUGCAUGCAUGGGGAGGCAUGAGGGGAGUAACUGACUGCACAUAUAUCUAUUCAAAACUGUCCAGAUUCAGUAGGUAUUCCAGUUAUCAGUCUGAAACUCUGAUAAUCAGAUCACAGAACAGACCUAAUGAGCAGACAGUUCCAAAUCACCUGCGCUGCAGAUGUCCUCUAUGAGCUAUUAGACCAGCACAGAAGAGCCAGAGCUCAGUGCACUACAGCCUUGACUCCUGCUGGUUGCUCCCCUGCUUCAGCCUGACCAAAACCACUCCCUUUACCAGGGGCUGGGAGAAGGCCUAUAUUGGUAGAUAUGUAGCAGCAGUGAACACCCUCUAUACCAGAGACUGAAGGCUUAAGAAGCAGCAUGAGCUGACACUUCUCCAGUUCCUCUUCUUACCGCGGAUCCAGUAAGAUGCAAACUGAGGGGAAGAAGGGCAGGUAGUAGAUUGCAGGUAGGGACCACACAUCUCGAAGGACUUCCAGUUAUAGACAUCCAGCACUGCUAGAAGAUGGAACAGGAACAAAGUCAGUGACCUGACUUCUUGGCUGGAGCGACCUACUAGGAGCCAGUCACCGAAAGACAGGGAAACUGUAUAACCUUGACAUCUCAUUUGGGCUACUACCACACAGGAAAAGUUUGUGAAUACUCUGAGAGCUGCUGCUACUCCACAGGACGGGACUCUGAACUGGAAGUGUUCUUGAUCCACCAGAAAUAGAAAGAACUUUCUGUGGGACAGAAGAAUAUCAACAUGAAAAUAGGCAUCCUUCAUGUCAAGAACCACGAACCACAUCCCUCCUGUGGGAAGGGGAUUGUCUGUGCUAAUGUGACCAUCCUGAAUUUUGACUUUCGAAUAAAGUUGUCAAAAGUCCAAAA